This is a long non-coding RNA of Vigna angularis (adzuki bean), 418 nucleotides long. RefSeq lists it as uncharacterized. The record is from RefSeq and is a predicted model, not a curated record. NCBI's taxonomy places the organism in Eukaryota, Viridiplantae, Streptophyta, Magnoliopsida, Fabales, Fabaceae. The transcript has 3 exons.
UGUUCCUCUCUCUAGAAAGCUUCUUCUUCUUCCUCUACCUUCUCUCUAAUCUCCACACUGCACCAUCCAUUGCAUUGUCAUUUAGGUGGCGUCCCCGCGUUCCUAGAGUCGGGAGUUCCGUUUUGAACCGAACGUUUUCUUCAUUCCUACUGGUCCUGUUUGGUUCUCCGCUGUGGGGUCCUGUUUAAAGUAUUCUAGCAAGUUGUACUGCUCAACUUCCAGUAGGUGAUGAUGUACCCUUGGAGCAAGCGUUGGAGAAUGAGGAGGACCCAGCUCCUAGUGCUUAGGAUUUCUACUAGCUAUUAUGUUAAAUAGCUCUUUAUUUUGAAAGACUUCUAGCCUUCAUUUUUUUUUAGCAUGAUCUGUGUUUUGGAGAAUUGUGAACUUGUACUUAAGUUUUAAAAGUUUUCCAGCCAGA